GAGAUGGAGACUGGUGCCCUUGAAAUGGCAUUUUUCAGAUGCUAAAUCAUGUUUCAAGAGAUGCAUUCAUUUAUCCAAUAGGCUGAACAAUAAGCCUGGACUGUGGAAGGUUUCAGGUUACAAAAUGAAUUUUGAUGCAUGCAUCUGUGUAAGUGAAGAUCCAGUUUCCCAACAGAUGAUGCAGUAAGAAAGGCUUUUUUAGUUUCCACUGUUCUACCAGAGAGCAGGUGCAGCAGCGGUGCAAAUAAGACACUACAAAUGCCAGCAGAAGCUGUAACUCCAAGAGGUUCAAUUAGUGGAGGAUAUUGAAGCUGUGAAAUAUCUGGCAUCCAAAGCAUCAUGCUCUGAUGGAUCAAGAUUGCAACCAUCGCCUCAACCAACAGAUACGGAAAUUGCAACAAUCAAGUCUUGUCCCUGGAUCCAUGGAUGGUUAUUUCCUCUCCACUAUGUGCUCUUGUCCUUUAUUUCCCUUUCUUUUCCAUAUAUAUUUUCCUAAGCAAUAUUUUUAUAUUUUUAUAUUGCCAUAUUUCUAUUGACAAUAACCAAAAUGGCUGCAUACCCUCUUCCCAUUGCAACCAA
Long non-coding RNA from Corvus hawaiiensis (hawaiian crow), 579 nucleotides. RefSeq lists it as uncharacterized. The record is from RefSeq and is a predicted model, not a curated record. Lineage: Eukaryota; Metazoa; Chordata; Aves; Passeriformes; Corvidae. The transcript has 7 exons.